AGCAGCCGCGGUAAUUCCAGCUCCAAUAGCGUAUAUUAAAGUUGUUGCAGUUAAAAAGCUCGUAGUUGAAUUUCGGGAUCAAUAUAUCGGUCGUACUUCGGUAUGUACUGGUAUUAUUGAUUUCUCCCUUCUGACGAACUAUGAUGUCAUUAAUUUGGUGUUAUGGGGAAUCAGGACUGUUACUUUGAAAAAAUUAGAGUGUUUAAAGCAGGCACACGCUUGAAUACAUUAGCAUGGAAUAAUGAAAUAGGACGUUUGAUCUUAUUUUGUUGGUUUUCUAGGAUCGACGUAAUGAUUAAUAGGGAUAGUUGGGGGCAUUAGUAUUCAAUUGUCAGAGGUGAAAUUCUUGGAUUUAUUGAAGACUAACUACUGCGAAAGCAUUUGCCAAGGAUGUUUUCAU
This 400-nucleotide ribosomal RNA is filed under the name uncultured Glomeromycotina. Its description in RNAcentral is "SSU rRNA". It matches the Rfam family "Eukaryotic small subunit ribosomal RNA", at positions 569 to 973 of the family's 1831-position model. The record is from RNAcentral. Lineage: Eukaryota; Fungi; Glomeromycota.